CUCAUAAUCUGCCCACCUCGGCCUCCCAAAGUGCUGGGAUUAUAGGCAUGAGCCACCACGCCCAGCCAGAAGGAAUAAUUUCUAAUGUGCAAUAGCAGAGUAGGGUAACUGUAAUUAAUAACAAUGAAUUGUAUAUUUCAAAAUAGCUAAAGGAGCAGACUUGAAAUGUUCCCAACACAUAGAAACCAUAAGUGCUCAAGGUGAUGGAGAUUCUAAAUAUCCCGACUUGAUCAUUACACAUUCUACACAUGCAACAAAAGAUCAUAUGCACCCCAUGCACAUGCACGAAUGUCAUGUGUCAAUUUAAAGCAUGCCCCUCCCCGUUGCUGUGCUCCAUGAGUCUGUGUGUGGGGGGGGAUAUCCACACCCAUCACAGCAUAGUCCUGUGUCACUUCUACAUAACAAGAAGGGCCAGGGACAGAGGUGGUACUCCUGGAGGGGGGACGCAGGCCCAGAACAGUUCACUUUUGUGGGUGUGAGGAGUGAGUCAGGCUUGGGACAGGAACGCGGACACCUGGGCCCCACCCUCAGAGAUUCCAAUUGAAGUGGUCUGAAUUGGGACUCUGGCCUCAGUAUUUCUUAAAAACUCCCAAUGACUCCAAUGUGCACCCAGGGUUGGAGAUCGCAGAUAUAUAUACAGUGAAGUCAGACUGUCUCCUGGCUCCUGUGUUUACCUGCUGCUGUACCCGUCAGCACAGGUCUCCUGGUCUCUGAAUCACAAUCCCAAAUUAGUGGGAGAGGAUAUCUGAUUGGCUGAGCUUGGCACCACGUGUCCCUCUUGAUCCAAUUAGCCAUGCCAGGGGGAUGGGCAAUGAACUAUACAGCAGCUGAUCCGCCACUGAGGAACCCCCCCUUGCAUCUGGGGUGUAUUUCCCAUGAAUGGGAAGGUCGUGGCGGGGCAGACAUCCCCAAAGGUGACUGGCACAGCUGGUGUCAUAUGCUAUGAAACUCUUGUUUGUUUUGAAGUCUGUGAAGUCUUUAAGGGCAGACAUCAUUUUCUGAAACCCUAUGUAUUAAUCACGUUUUUGUUUUCUGUAUUUUAGGAUGCUUUGACAUCUUGGAGCCCUGUGGACCCAGGAAGGGACUGCCCUUCCCAGGGUUGGCUAUUUCCUACAGGCAGCAAACAACUUGCCUGCAAGAUGCCUUCGAUAUGCAAACCAACUCAUCCCAAGUCCAUUCCCCAAACUGGCUCCUUUCAUCAGGCUUAGGAAACCCUAGACAUCAUCCUCCUGCCCAAAGUCACCCUAGGGCCAGAUACCAUUCAACUAGGGACCACCCUGAUAGCGCAGAGCCUGCUGAAGUUAUUCAGCCUAUCCAAUCUUAAACUUGCUCAGUGGCUUGCCCUGCCUCACCCGUUCCUUCCCUUGAGAACCACAAAUGAAGAAAAAACUUGGCCCAUGCUUUUCCCUCACUCCUGCCUCCUGACCCGACCUGGUGCCUCCCUGUGUGGCUCUGAAUGGUGUGACAUGUAAUACAAGAACAGCCUAACACAUCAUCCCUGAAUAAGAACAACCUCUUGGGUAUGUUUUUAAAAAUCCCAGCAUCUGGCACAGUACCUGUUACAUAGAAGGCAAGUGAUAAAUACUUGCUGAAUUAAAUAUAUGAAUAAAUGGAUGGAUGGAUGGAUGGAUGGAUGGAUGGAUGGAUGGAUGGAUGGAUAGACAGAUGGACAGAUGGAUGGACAGAUGGGUGGGUGGAUGGAUGCAUGGAUGAGAAGGCCCUUGAGAGUUUAGAGGGGGCAUGGUAUGAAGUUAUAUGCCUGAUCCAGCCCUGGGUGAUGGAUGCCUAGACCUGUCCGCCCAUGUUUCUUCCUCUGUCUUAGGAACCACAGGCAAUUACAGUGGGAUAACCAAAUGGAGAGGCCAGGUGACUCCCUGACAAACAGCAAUCACACCAAGACCUGCAGAAGAAAGGGUGUGGAUUCAGUGUCCCAGCUCUUGAGGGCACUGUGUUUAUAGGUGGAAAUGAUGAAUGGAUGUGCACUGACAUUUAUGUCACUGUGCUGGGACUUGCUCUCUCUUCUGCUCACAGUCUCUCUAUAUAGGAUAAAAGAUUCUGAGCACCAAAGAAUUGUUCCAUCUAGUCAAACUGGGGGAAACUGACAAACUCCAUCUUGGUUCAUUAGACCCAUGGAUGAAUUAUGGGAUGUAGAGGGAAACUGUGCCUGGUGCACACUUAAUGAACCCAGGGGCUCCAGUGAUGGAUGGAUGGAUGGAAGUGAACAUUCAUCUACUCUCACUUGCUCCGAUGAUGUCAUUUUUAACCAACAGUGAACUUCACCCAGAAACCAACCCGGACACAGAGCAGAGAUAAGGCGGGUGAGAGUGCCUCAGGAGGAAUGUUAACCAGAUUCCAGAAGCCUGCCAGUCAGUCCUGCUGACGUUAUUCCACAGAAGCAAGGACUUGGUCUUCUUCAUUCACUGCUGCAUCCACAGUGCUCAGGACAGCGCCUGUGCAGGAACCCCUCCUGAAUGACUGGCAUUUGCACACAGCCUUCUCCACUGCACCACGUGGACACAAGCAGUGUAGGGGAUGCAGCGUCCAUCUGCCCCUUGCUGCUCCUGUCGCAGCCUUCUGCCUUCAGGACCCACCAUUUAAGCCUCUUCAUCCUUCUCUACCUCUCCACUGCCUCAAUCCAGAGAAACUUUAUCCAGCCUGGGGCAGGGCUGUCUGGCUCUGACUGAUCACAUAUUCUCCUAAAUCUAUUAUUUAUGCCUAAACCGUAUGCCCUGAGUCUUUCAGGCCUGAGGCUGCUUAUGCUCAAAAGCCGGGCUUUGAAAUACAGAAAGCUUCUUUCCCCCUUAAAACUAUGGUCUCUGCUGUGAGUUUCCAGAAGCCUAUUUUGUAACACAGAAGUGAAAGCUUGAUUCCUUUUACUGUAUUUUGCAAUGUCAUCACUUCACUAAUGCGAGGCAUGUGAAUGUCCCUGCGGCUGCCUAUACCAGAGGGCAGGCCAAGGGGUUAGGAAGUAGGGUGAGGUUCGUGGAUCAAAAUAUUAUCUGUCACAUACUCUGUAGUACAGGAACUCUCACUAAGUAUUGCAAGUGUAAAUGACCUUGGAAGCACUUUCUGGUUGGAGCCACAGCAUUGGCAAACAAAGCUAAAAAUAAUAAACCCAGUGUUGCUGGGGACGUGGGAAACACCAUGCAUUAGGGAUGCUGUACUCAUUUGCUCCGAUAUUUCUGGAAAGCAGUCUGGUAAUAGUGUAUCAAGAACUAUCAACAUUAUCCCCUGAUGAUGCAUUGGUAAUACCACUUUGGGAGAUCUACUCCAUAAGCAUAAGCCAAAAGAAGCAAAAGAAAAACCAUAAUCUUGUUCAAAGAUGAUCAUGGCAUUAUUUAGAAACAAUGAAAAUAUCCCAGACAGGAAAGUGGUUAAGCACUAUGAUCUGUCAAGACAAUGGGAUAGUAGCUAAAUCUUUGGGCUUAGGGUAGGAUAACUACUUUAACAAAUAACCACAAACCUUGGUGGCUUAGCACAAUAAAGUUUAUUUCUUACACACAUUGCAACCCAAUGUAGGUCAGUUGGGGAGACAGGUUUCCGUAUGCCAUCACUCAGGGACCUAGGCUUCUGUGUUUAUUGGCUCCACGAUUUCCUCCCUGUGUCUGAUAGAUCCAUGAGGUGAGAACAGAGGAUUGCAAGGGAGGUUUCACGAGCCAGAUUCAGAGGUCUGGAGGCAACAUUACUUCUACCCACAUUCUAGGAGUCAGAACGCAGUCAUGUGGCCACAUCUAACUACAAGGGAGGCUGGGAAAUGUAGUCUUGCUAUAAGCCCGGGGUGAAAGGGGAAUUGUCUGAUGAACACAUAGCAGUGAUUGCCACACUGUCAACAAGUUACACGUUGACUAUGCUGACAUAUGAGCACUUAAAUAUUAAAUCAUAUUAAAUAGACAAAGCAAAACACAGAAACACUAAUUAGGACUGAUUACUAAUAACUAUAUACUUGCAAUUAUGUAUACUGACCAACUCAGAAGUGAUUUUAAAGUAUUGUGGGCUUUGUAGUUGUAUGUUUUGUCCUUACUGUAAAAAGAAAAAUCCACAGGGCAGAUAAAACUGUGGUUAUGGAUUCAUGUGACCAGAUGUGGAACUGCAUUAUGGUGUUUACCUUUUUGAAACUUUUUCAUUGAAAACAUAGAAGCUUGUUUGCAGCAACAUGGAUGAACUCGGAGGUCAUUGUGCUAAGUGAAAUAAGCCAGAUAUGGAAGGACAAAUACUGUAUGAUCUCACGCAUAUGUGGAAUCUAAAAAAGUUGAACUCAUUGAGGUGGAGAGUAGAACAGCAGUUGCCAGGGGGUGGGGGCUGGAGAAAACAGGGAGACGUGCUCAAAGGGUUCAACGUAAGUUAUAAGAUGACCAAGUGCUGAAAAUCUAAUGGACAGAUGGUAAUGGAUGUAUUAAUUAAUUUGAUCGUGGUUAUCAUUAUACAAUGUCUACAUAUAUCAAAUCAUCACAUUGUAGACCUUGAGUAUAUUCAAUCUCAGUUAAAUAUUUUAAAAUAAAAAAUUUAAAAACAUAAAUGGAGUAUCAGUAUGAAAAAAUAAA
Molecule: long non-coding RNA, 4541 nt
Organism: Cercocebus atys (sooty mangabey)
Lineage: Eukaryota; Metazoa; Chordata; Mammalia; Primates; Cercopithecidae
Exons: 3
Source: RefSeq, a predicted model, not a curated record